UUCUGCAGCCCAUCUGCUUUUUUGUAUAUCUGCACUGGAACGGUGUAGAGAGAGAGAGAGAGAGAGAGAGAGAGAGAGAGAAUUAUAACCGUCAAUCUUAACUCUAUCCUGGUCAACACAAAACCCAACACAUAGACAUGAGUUAUACCUUGAGUUAACAAACUAGGUUUAGGGUUGUACUUCACACAUAUAAGGACACUCUCGCUUUGGAUUUCAUUUUUAGAGAUCUCUGCACAAACCCUAUUCUAAUCCAUCCCCAUCUCUCUCUGAAUAUAAUAUUAUAUUAGUUUUAUAUUUUAUUAUUAUGAAUUUUAGAGUCAAAAGUGCAAGCAAAUGAGGAGAAUUUAUUGAAUUAUGAGAAGCUUGCAAAUAAUCAGUCGUCUGUCGCCGUCGCCGGAAUCUACAACUCUCCACCGUCAAAGCCCUCUAUUUUCUCUCAUACUCCUCAAAUUGGGUCUAUGCUAGAGAACUCUACGAAAUCAGAGGAUUAGUUCCUCAACGCCCUUAACUGGAAUUUGGGUUUGGGUGGUGAGGGAGGGGUGAAGCGACGACUUGACUUUUGGAAAGGAGGACUCGGCUGUGAUGAGUCGGUGCGGCACCGGCGGGUAAGGAGAAGACGGGCUCAGCUGUGGUGAGGGAUGGCCGGUGAGGCGAAGCUCGGCUGUGAUGGAGGCGACGACGAGCAAGAGAGAGCUCGGCGAUGUGGCUCGCCGUGAUGGAGGCGGCGGUGAGCAAGAGAUGGAGAACGACAAAGAGAGCUCGGCCGGUGGAGGGAUGGACUGAAUCGGCUGCCCGCGAGCAACGGGCUGUGAUGGUGAACUCGCGGCGGUGAACUGCAGUCGGCUAUAAAAAGGACCUGGGCAUGGUGAUGGCAGCGUGCAUGAUACUGAGCCGUGGUACUUCGCAUCCGUGUGAUAUUUCAAAGUCAAGGCGAGAGGACCAAAACCCAGCCAUGAGCGUCGGAUCCCUCUCCUUGGCCGGCCCUCAACAUAAAGAAUCGUAAAAUAUGAUGCCGAAGAGGCAGUUUACUAUUGUAGGUGAAGGUGAACCAAGCCCGGUAUCGGAGACCAAUGCAGAGGUGAGUAAAAAGAAGAUGGGACGCCAGUUCUGGUCAAAAUCCACCAGUUCCUUAGCCGUCGCGUGCUGAAGCCGUCGUCAUUUCCGCCGAGUCUCCAAUGAAACAAUGUCCUGAAUCGUCGAGAGCGGCGGAGGAGAUGCCGCGGCCGGCGGUGCUGGACUGCCAGACGAUGGCACCAGAGCCGUGUCGUUUGGUGAGUUCCAAUUGCUAUUUUGGUUUGAGGCGUAGAGGGUUGAUCCUAAUUGGAUGUCUGUUGAUUCGGUGGUGAUGAUGAAGAAGAGUGAAAGUAAAAUUAGGUGUAGUAUAGAUUGGGGUUUCAUUUCCCUCUUUACUCUCUCUAGUCUCUGUGUUAGGGAUCCGAGUAAUUAAAUUAUGUGUGUAUAUCUUUCUACUUGUAA
Long non-coding RNA from Cornus florida, 1476 nucleotides. RefSeq lists it as uncharacterized. The record is from RefSeq and is a predicted model, not a curated record. The transcript is spliced from 2 exons. NCBI's taxonomy places the organism in Eukaryota, Viridiplantae, Streptophyta, Magnoliopsida, Cornales, Cornaceae.